AGGGUAAUAGCUCAGUGAUAGAGCGCAUGCUUAGCAUACCGAGGUCCUGGGUUCAAUCCCCAGUACCUCCA
RNAcentral lists this transfer RNA (71 nucleotides) under Camelus bactrianus (Bactrian camel). It matches the Rfam family "tRNA". From Rfam's summary of the family: Transfer RNA (tRNA) molecules are approximately 80 nucleotides in length. Their secondary structure includes four short double-helical elements and three loops (D, anti-codon, and T loops). Further hydrogen bonds mediate the characteristic L-shaped molecular structure. tRNAs have two regions of fundamental functional importance: the anti-codon, which is responsible for specific mRNA codon recognition, and the 3' end, to which the tRNAs corresponding amino acid is attached (by aminoacyl-tRNA synthetases). tRNAs cope with the degeneracy of the genetic code in two manners: having more than one tRNA (with a specific anti-codon) for a particular amino acid; and 'wobble' base-pairing, i.e. permitting non-standard base-pairing at the 3rd anti-codon position. The record is from Rfam by way of RNAcentral. RNAcentral also lists the same sequence under 2 other names. Lineage: Eukaryota; Metazoa; Chordata; Mammalia; Artiodactyla; Camelidae.